GUGCUGCUUCAGCAGCACAUAUAUUAAAACUGGAGCUACACAGAGAUUAGCGUGCUCCCUGCAUAGAGAUGACAUGCAAAUUUUUCUAUUACUUGGAAUGGUU
Molecule: small nuclear RNA, 103 nt
Filed under: Octodon degus (degu)
Lineage: Eukaryota; Metazoa; Chordata; Mammalia; Rodentia; Octodontidae
Source: RNAcentral